This is a non-coding RNA of Vibrio sp., 105 nucleotides long. NCBI's taxonomy places the organism in Bacteria, Pseudomonadati, Pseudomonadota, Gammaproteobacteria, Vibrionales, Vibrionaceae. The record is from Rfam.
UAUCACCAAGGAUUGUUUUUCCCACAACAUGAUUCCUGUGGGAUGCGGAAAGGACUCAAAACCAGCUUCCCUUGCUGGUUGCGACUCAGAACUAUAAAGGACGGA